RNAcentral lists this ribosomal RNA (307 nucleotides) under uncultured Pantoea sp. RNAcentral's name for it is "bacterial SSU rRNA". It matches the Rfam family "Bacterial small subunit ribosomal RNA", at positions 29 to 332 of the family's 1533-position model. The record is from RNAcentral. Lineage: Bacteria; Pseudomonadati; Pseudomonadota; Gammaproteobacteria; Enterobacterales; Erwiniaceae.
ACGAACGCUGGCGGCAGGCCUAACACAUGCAAGUCGGACGGUAGCACAGAGGAGCUUGCUCCUCGGGUGACGAGUGGCGGACGGGUGAGUAAUGUCUGGGGAUCUGCCCGAUAGAGGGGGAUAACCACUGGAAACGGUGGCUAAUACCGCAUAACGUCGCAAGACCAAAGAGGGGGACCUUCGGGCCUCUCACUAUCGGAUGAACCCAGAUGGGAUUAGCUAGUAGGCGGGGUAAUGGCCCACCUAGGCGACGAUCCCUAGCUGGUCUGAGAGGAUGACCAGCCACACUGGAACUGAGACACGGUCC